Molecule: ribosomal RNA, 460 nt
Filed under: uncultured bacterium
Lineage: Bacteria
Description: partial 16S ribosomal RNA
Rfam family: Bacterial small subunit ribosomal RNA
Source: RNAcentral
CCUACGGGUGGCAGCAGUGAGGGAUAUUGGUCAAUGGACGAGAGUCUGAACCAGCCAAGUAGCGUGAAGGAUGACUGCCCUAUGGGUUGUAAACUUCUUUUAUAUGGGAAUAAAACAGGGUAUGCAUACCCUCUUGUAUGUACCAUAUGAAUAAGGAUCGGCUAACUCCGUGCCAGCAGCCGCGGUAAUACGGAGGAUCCGAGCGUUAUACGGAUUUAUUGGGUUUAAAGGGAGCGUAGGUGGAUUGUUAAGUCAGUUGUGAAAGUUUGCGGCUCAACCGUAAAAUUGCAGUUGAAACUGGCAGUCUUGAGUACAGUAGAGGUGGGCGGAAUUCGUGGUGUAGCGGUGAAAUGCUUAGAUAUCACGAAGAACUCCGAUUGCGAAGGCAGCCUUCCGGCGCCCUACUGACGCUGAGGCACGAAAGUGCGGGGAUCGAACAGGAUUAGAUACCCUGGUAGUC